GCUGGCGGCAGGCCUAACACAUGCAAGUCGAGCGGUAGCACAGAGAAGCUUGCUUCUUGGGUGACGAGCGGCGGACGGGUGAGUAACGCGUAGGAAUCUACCUAAUGGUGGGGGAUAGCCCAGGGAAACUUGGAUUAAUACCGCAUAAGUCCUAAGGGAGAAAGCGGGGGAUCUUCGGACCUCGUGCCAUUAGAUGAGCCUGCGUAAGAUUAGCUAGUUGGUGAGGUAAGAGCUCACCAAGGCGACGAUCUUUAGCUGGUCUGAGAGGAUGAUCAGCCACACUGGGACUGAGACACGGCCCAGACUCCUACGGGAGGCAGCAGUGGGGAAUAUUGGACAAUGGGGGCAAUCCUGAUCCAGCCAUGCCGCGUGUGUGAAGAAGGCCUUCGGGUUGUAAAGCACUUUCAGAUGUGAGGAAAGGUUACAGAUUAAUACUCUGUAGCUGUGACGUUAACAUCAGAAGAAGGACCGGCUAACUCCGUGCCAGCAGCCGCGGUAAUACGGAGGGUCCGAGCGUUAAUCGGAAUUACUGGGCGUAAAGCGCGCGUA
Molecule: ribosomal RNA, 549 nt
Filed under: uncultured Oceanospirillales bacterium
Lineage: Bacteria; Pseudomonadati; Pseudomonadota; Gammaproteobacteria; Oceanospirillales
Description: bacterial SSU rRNA
Rfam family: Bacterial small subunit ribosomal RNA
Source: RNAcentral